UCCGGUUUGUCACCGGCAGUUCCAAUAGAGUGCCCUUUCGUAGCAACUAUUGGCAAGGGUUGCGCUCGUUGCGGGACUUAACCCAACAUCUCACGACACGAGCUGACGACAGCCAUGCAGCACCUGUGUCCAGGUUCCCUUUCGGGCACCCCUCCAUCUCUGGAGGGUUCCUGGCAUGUCAAGGGUAGGUAAGGUUUUUCGCGUUGCAUCGAAUUAAUCCACAUAAUCCACCGCUUGUGCGGGUCCCCGUCAAUUCCUUUGAGUUUUAAUCUUGCGACCGUAUUCCCCAGGCGGUCAACUUCACGCGUUAGCUUCGUUACUGAGAAAGAGAAUUCCCAACAACCAGUUGACAUCGUUUAGGGCGUGGACUAC
Molecule: unclassified non-coding RNA, 372 nt
Filed under: uncultured Gammaproteobacteria bacterium
Lineage: Bacteria; Pseudomonadati; Pseudomonadota; Gammaproteobacteria
Description: contains 16S-23S intergenic spacer region
Source: RNAcentral